Molecule: ribosomal RNA, 460 nt
Filed under: uncultured bacterium
Lineage: Bacteria
Description: partial 16S ribosomal RNA
Rfam family: Bacterial small subunit ribosomal RNA
Source: RNAcentral
CCUAGGGGAGGCAGCAGUGAGGAAUAUUGGUCAAUGGGCGGGAGCCUGAACCAGCCAAGUCGCGUGAGGGAAGACGGUUCUACGGAUUGUAAACCUCUUUUGCCGGGGAGCAACGGGGUCCUUGCGAGGGCCCGAUGAGAGUACCCGAAGAAAAAGCAUCGGCUAACUCCGUGCCAGCAGCCGCGGUAAUACGGAGGAUGCGAGCGUUAUCCGGAUUUAUUGGGUUUAAAGGGUGCGCAGGCGGAUUUUUAAGUCAGCGGUCAAAUCGUGGUGCUCAACCCCAUCCAGCCGUUGAAACUGGGGAUCUAGAGUGUGCGAGAGGUAUGCGGAAUGCGUGGUGUAGCGGUGAAAUGCAUAGAUAUCACGCAGAACCCCGAUUGCGAAGGCAGCAUACCGGUGCACAACUGACGCUCAGGCACGAAAGCGUGGGUAUCGAACAGGAUUAGAUACCCCGGUAGUC